Molecule: non-coding RNA, 459 nt
Organism: Cucurbita pepo subsp. pepo (vegetable marrow)
Lineage: Eukaryota; Viridiplantae; Streptophyta; Magnoliopsida; Cucurbitales; Cucurbitaceae
Source: RefSeq, a predicted model, not a curated record
UUACUUGUUUCUCCUCUCCCCGCCGCUACGGCUACACGCAGAGGCAUCUCAUCUCCGAUUGAGUCCCGAUGAGGAAACGUUUAGUAAUCUGAACAAAAUGGAACAUGGAGGGUUUCGUCCAUUGCUGGCGCUCCCGAUGGCUUAUCGCUGAGGUUGAGGAACCAGCUGUUCCAUGCCAAUUCCAGCGUAAAAAUCGGCUCCGGACUGUCCAAAAUGUUGAAAAGGGUCCCGAGGCAUCAAAUUGAGGUGUCUAAGCGGAGGAAAGCAGAGCGCAAGGACCUUGCGGCUGAUAAGACCGUCUAGAGUGGAGCCAAAGGGGUCAGAAGUGGCUCAGGCCGGCGUCAGUUGGGUUAUGUUUGAAUUUGUCUAAUAGAUCCUUUUUUUUUUUUAGUAUUAUAUUUAUUUAGCUUAUAACUUUAAAAAGGAAAGUUCAUACAGUUAUGAACACAUUUAAAUAAA